RNAcentral lists this ribosomal RNA (564 nucleotides) under Triticum aestivum (bread wheat). RNAcentral describes it as "partial small subunit ribosomal RNA". The record is from RNAcentral. Lineage: Eukaryota; Viridiplantae; Streptophyta; Magnoliopsida; Poales; Poaceae.
AUGCGUCGCUGCCUCUAUCAGUAUGCGUCUAUUUGUGUCAAUGCCAUGCUAGUGUUUUACUCGUGGAUUAAUUUAAUCGAGAAAUUGCCUAUUUACUCAACAAUCCAAAAACCUAUUAUGUGUAGGAAUUUCUCGGCAAGUGGCUUUGCCGCUGCACUGAAACCGGAUAUGUUUACCGGUUCGUAUUUUAAGCGUUGGCAGACUAAGACCACUUUAUGGCUCACGGCUAUGAACGUGUUCUGGGUCACUGGUGUCUCCACGGAAACGAUUGCUCCUGAACAGGAGAAGGCGUUCAAGGAGGCUACCGUUGUGUUUCUCGGAGCAGUUUUUAGCGUGAUCGGAGAUAAACUGGUCGACGCAUAUUUACAUGUGCAUGUCGCCAAGGACUUGUGGGAGGCGCUCGAAUCUAAGUUCGGGGCAGCCGAUGCCGGGAGCGAGAUGUAUAUUAUAGAGCAGUUCCACGAUUACAAGAUGGUUGAAAACCGUCCUGUAUUGGAGCAGACUCAUGAGAUAAUAUGCAUUGUUAAGGAGCUUGAACUUCUUAAGUGCGAGUUACCGGGCUAG